This 395-nucleotide ribosomal RNA is filed under the name uncultured bacterium. Its description in RNAcentral is "bacterial SSU rRNA". It matches the Rfam family "Bacterial small subunit ribosomal RNA", at positions 350 to 751 of the family's 1533-position model. The record is from RNAcentral.
AGCAGUGAGGAAUUUUCCGCAAUGAGCGAAAGCUUGACGGAGCAAUGCCGCGUGGAGGACGACAGCCUGUGGGUUGUAAACUCCUUUUCUUGGAAAAGAAGAAUUUUAGAUUUAGACGGUAUCUAAGGAAUAAGCAUCGGCUAACUCCGUGCCAGCAGCCGCGGUAAUACGGAGGAUGCAAGCGUUAUCCGGAAUCAUUGGGCGUAAAGGGUCCUGAGGUGGUUUGUUUAGUCCACUGUGAAAGAUCAGGGCUUAACCCUGAAAAUGCGGUGGAAACUAGCAAGCUAGAGUACGGUAGGGGCGGAGGGAAUUCCCGGUGUAGCGGUGAAAUGCAUAGAUAUCGGGAAGAACACCGACGGCGAAAGCACUCUGCUGGGCCGAUACUGACACUGACA